ACUGUCUACAAGGUAGGCGGUUCAUUAAGAAGACCUUUCGCUCUUCUCGCUACUUGCAGCUUCACAGAUUCAUUCACAUAUUUUUUAAUGGAGCUGCCCACCCGAACAUUACCCGAUAACUAUAUUGCUAUAAUUAAGAUUUUUGCCAUGUCUUUAUGUACAGUCUCCUUCACUGCCUUUUAUUUUUUUCCUUAGACAAGCCUCAAAUGCUCACGUCACUCCAGGGGAAACACGCUUCAGAGGCACUGUGAGUGGUGGGUGGCAGGGCAGCACACAAAGGCUGAACAGUGCCACGGAACUGAUGGUUGGAGACACCACUCCCUACUCAUGCCCUUGGGUGACCUUCGCCAUGCUGAAGCUCUGCAGUUCUGGAUUUCAAGGCAAGGCACGUAAUGUGGACAUUAUAUCUUCGUGCAAAUUAGGAUUACUGGAAAGAGUAUUUUUAAUUAAAAUUUUAAGAGACAUAAGAGGCAAAAUGUGUCUGCCCAUGCACACUAUGGAUCUGUCAAUACAAGAAAUUUGUUGAACAAGGCUAAUGUCUGAAAGCACCAUGCAAGUUUUCAGCACCCUGAUUACACUUGUUUUCUCAAGAGUGCGUUUUUAUAUCCUACACCCUGGCGUUCCCAGUUUGUAAACUGUAAGCUUUACCCUUGUGACAUGGAUUUGCCUGCCUCUUUGUCUCUAUAAUGCAGAUUUUAUAGAACCUUUUGUACACCCUAUGGGUUCUUGAUGCAACCAGUAAUUUUAAAUAAAUAAAUUCUACCUCCAAGGAGGCUGCAGCUAAACCAACAUAAGUGCUGUGUUUUCAUUAAUUUUAUUUUUCUCAAGCACAUGAUUUGUCUUGAUUUAAUGCCUUUUUAAUGCCCUCAAAAACUGAGGGGAAAAUAAAUUCGUUCAAAAUUAUUUUAAAUUCUUUUUAAUCCCCUCAAUUUAGAGUCCAAGGGCUGAAGGACUUAUAAUCAUGAUUCCCCUUUAGAUAUAAAUUUAAAAAUUGCACUUGCCUCUGUUAAGUGUUUCUUUUGUGGGGAAAAUAUUAUAUUAAUUUUUACUGUUGCAUGCAGAGAGAACACUUCACCUACAUAGAGGCAUUUCUUCCAUAGAGCCUUUGUGUUCAAACUGUUUUUUUCCUUUUUUCUUUUUUUCCUUUUUUUUUCAUUUUUUCUUUUUUUAAGAUUUCAAACUGGGUUACACACUGGAAAAGGCUGGGUUAAGGGCCGAAAUUUAAUAAAUCUGUACUGAUAACUAAAGGCUACAGAGAUUUCAUAUAUUUUUUUUAACUUUUAGAAAUCAGAGUGCUUAUAAAAUGGCUGGCUCAUGGCUCUGUCACCCAGCACCUCUGACGCCGCCUCCUAGCCUUCGUUGGUGAGAUAACCAGGAAUAGUGAUUCCAUGCGUAAACAACAAGAAUACUAAACCAAUAAAACUAGCUUAUCAUGCAAAUAUUAAGGCAUCUAGAAAGUCAGUUAAAAUAUAUUGUCAUAGAGACAGAACAUCUAUUUCCCAGCGGACUUCAUGUAACAAAGGCUACGUUGCAGGGGCUGCGAUCUACCAUCAGUGAAAUAUCAUCGACCCUUUUUAUGUCAUUACAGUUUCAACCUUAAGGGAAUUAGUGAUUGUAAGUGCUGCAAUUGCUGGUCUAUUAUCUUCUUUCUUCAGUUUCUUUCCUUUCUCCCUUUGUGUUGUUUUGUCCAGUCUUCCUCUUUU
Molecule: long non-coding RNA, 1703 nt
Filed under: Pan troglodytes (chimpanzee)
Lineage: Eukaryota; Metazoa; Chordata; Mammalia; Primates; Hominidae
Description: long non-coding RNA NONPTRT017413
Source: RNAcentral